GGACCCGUAGUGUAGUCGGUUUAACACGCAUCCCUGUCAAGGAUGAGAUCGCCGGUUCGAAUCCGGUCGGGUCCG
Molecule: transfer RNA, 75 nt
Filed under: Candidatus Beckwithbacteria bacterium GW2011_GWC1_49_16
Lineage: Bacteria; Candidatus Beckwithiibacteriota
Description: tRNA-Asp
Rfam family: tRNA
About the family: Transfer RNA (tRNA) molecules are approximately 80 nucleotides in length.
Source: RNAcentral